CCGGUAGGUACUCGAGUGGCGAACGGGUGAGUAACACGUGGGUGAUCUGCCCUGCACUUCGGGAUAAGCUUGGGAAACUGGGUCUAAUACCGGAUAGGAGCCAUCUUUAGUGUGGUGGUUGGAAAGUUUUUCGGUGUAGGAUGAGCUCGCGGCCUAUCAGCUUGUUGGUGGGGUAAUGGCCUACCAAGGCGGCGACGGGUAGCCGGCCUGAGAGGGUGUACGGCCACAUUGGGACUGAGAUACGGCCCAG
RNAcentral lists this ribosomal RNA (250 nucleotides) under uncultured Actinomycetales bacterium. Its description in RNAcentral is "partial 16S ribosomal RNA". It matches the Rfam family "Bacterial small subunit ribosomal RNA", at positions 80 to 334 of the family's 1533-position model. The record is from RNAcentral. Lineage: Bacteria; Bacillati; Actinomycetota; Actinomycetes; Actinomycetales.